UUUUUCCCCUCAAGGAGGAAAAUGAGAUUACCAUGAAAACAUACACACACAUACACACACACAUGUAUAUAGUGAACACACACACACACACACAUAUAUAUAUAUAUGGGUUCAAACUCCGGUCUGGUAUCACUCUACGAUCAGACUUUUCCACCACGCUAUACUGCCUUUCCUACUGAAUAGAAAGCAGGCUGCUAUGUAUUUCAUAUUCUGUUUGAAAAUUUUCAAACAGGAUCUUUCAAAAGUCUCCGUGAAGUUUUAAACUUUAAUAAUUUCAGAAAUACAAAUGCUAAAGACUUAGAACAAAGACCAUUGAGAAUAUUAAAUAUUUAUGUUUAUUUUCUACCAUAACAGGUUCUGUGAAUUUUGAAAAAUAAAUUUAAGUGGUAAUUUUCAGUUCCUGAUUGAAGAUGCAAAAUAAAAAUUGACAUGAAAAAUUUAUACUUCUGUACAACAUAGUGAUUAUACUUCAUAAAAAUGUAUUGUAUUCUUGGAAAUUGCUAAUAGAUUUGAAGUGUUCUAGCUACAAAAAGUGAAAAGUAUGUGAAGCAACUCAUGUAUUAAUUAGCUCAAUUUAGCCAUUUCAAAAUGUAUACAUAUUUCAAAACAACAUAUUGUACCUGAUAAAUAUGUACAAUUUUAGUUGAUAAAUUUAUAUUUCAAAGAUCACAAAACACAUGUAAAAGAAAUUUAAAUAAUUAAAUAGUCAGAUAAUAUUUAUAAGUCUGUAGCACAUAUAUACCUAUGUUUUCAAAGCUUAAGACUGCACUAAGACUUUGUAUGUUCAAGACUGGAUUUCUUUAGCUCUUUCAGUUUGGGAACCAGGAGCCUUUCGACCUAGAAAUUCCAGGAAUAAAAGGAACUCCAAAGAGAUAAGAUGCAGGUACAGAAGGGGACAGGGUCCCCUAUAGUAAAACCACAUUGGAGAAAUUUUUGAGCUAAAGGGGAAGGCUGAAAGAUAUUUACAACUGGAGAGCCAGCAGGUGCCAUGGUGGUUAAGGUGCUGGACUCCCAUUUCGCCAACUGCAGUUCGAGUCACAGACCUGGUAGCU
Long non-coding RNA from Tupaia belangeri chinensis (Chinese tree shrew), 1052 nucleotides. RefSeq lists it as uncharacterized. NCBI's taxonomy places the organism in Eukaryota, Metazoa, Chordata, Mammalia, Scandentia, Tupaiidae. The transcript has 2 exons. The record is from RefSeq and is a predicted model, not a curated record.